AUUGAACGCUGGCGGAAUGCUUUACACAUGCAAGUCGAACGGCAGCACGGACUUCGGUCUGGUGGCGAGUGGCGAACGGGUGAGUAAUGUAUCGGAACGUGCCCAGUCGUGGGGGAUAACGUAGUGAAAAUUACGCUAAUACCGCAUACGAUCUAUGGAUGAAAGCGGGGGAUCGCAAGACCUCGCGCGAUUGGAGCGGCCGAUAUCAGAUUAGGUAGUUGCUGGGGUAAAGGCCCACCAAGCCAACGAUCUGUAGCUGGUCUGAGAGGACGACCAGCCACAAUGGAACUGAGACACGGUCCAGAAUCCUACGGGAGGAAGCAGUGGGGAAUUUUGGACAAUGGGCGAAAGCCUGAUCCAGCCAUUCCGCGUGCAGGAUGAAGGCCCUCGGGUUGUAAACUGCUUUUGUACAGAACGAAAAGGUUUCUACUAAUACUAGGAGCUCAUGACGGUACUGUAAGAAUAAGCACCGGCUAACUACGUGCCAGCCGCCGCCGUAA
RNAcentral lists this ribosomal RNA (500 nucleotides) under uncultured bacterium. RNAcentral describes it as "partial 16S ribosomal RNA". It matches the Rfam family "Bacterial small subunit ribosomal RNA", at positions 30 to 523 of the family's 1533-position model. The record is from RNAcentral.